This 439-nucleotide ribosomal RNA is filed under the name uncultured Anaerovorax sp. Its description in RNAcentral is "bacterial SSU rRNA". It matches the Rfam family "Bacterial small subunit ribosomal RNA", at positions 341 to 792 of the family's 1533-position model. Lineage: Bacteria; Bacillati; Bacillota; Clostridia; Peptostreptococcales; Anaerovoracaceae. The record is from RNAcentral.
ACGGAAGGCAGCAGUGGGGAAUAUUGCACAAUGGGCGCAAGCCUGAUGCAGCAACGCCGCGUGAGCGAUGAAGGUCUUCGGAUUGUAAAGCUCUGUCCUAAGGGAAGAAGAAAAACGUGACGGUACCUUAGGAGGAAGCCCCGGCUAACUACGUGCCAGCAGCCGCGGUAAUACGUAGGGGGCGAGCGUUAUCCGGAAUUAUUGGGCGUAAAGAGUACGUAGGUGGCUGUGUAAGAGAGGGGUGAAAGCCCGGGGCUUAACUCCGGCGAGCCUUUUGAACUGCAAGACUUGAGUGCAGGAGGGGAAAGUGGAAUUCCUAGUGUAGCGGUGAAAUGCGUAGAUAUUAGGAGGAACACCGGUGGCGAAGGCGACUUUCUGGACUGUAACUGACACUGAGGUACGAAAGCGUGGGGAGCAAACAGGAUUAGAUACCCUGGUA